This 1127-nucleotide long non-coding RNA is filed under the name Eucalyptus grandis. RNAcentral describes it as "long non-coding RNA (EGRA_LNC007248)". Lineage: Eukaryota; Viridiplantae; Streptophyta; Magnoliopsida; Myrtales; Myrtaceae. The record is from RNAcentral.
GCUCGGCCGUCCGGGCCGUCGUUGCUCCGAACCGCCACUGCCUCCGCCAGAACCAAGCUCUUCCCCCCUUGGCCGUGGGUUUCGCCGCGACCGCCGCCGUCUUCGCCGUGCCGCUGUUGGUGCCGUGAGACUCUUGUCUUCGUCGCCGUCGCGCCACCGUUGCCGUGUGCUUACCCUUGACUUAUUGACUACGAAUUUAUUCUCUUAUUUUUGAUACAGGAACCGUGGAAAACAAGUGUAUUUGGUUUUUCCUGUUCGGAUUCCGAUUUGGAGAUAAUGGGGGAGGUGAAAAGGGGGAAGAAGGAAUCGGUUCAGCUCCAUCUCUCUUUGGCUCUUCCGCGGAAGAUUAUCAUUCCUCGCGAAACGAUAACCACCCAAUCGCGUCGAGAACGAGGCCGAUCAUCUCCUUGUAGAUCUGGGUCGAUCUUCUCUUUCGUGCCCGAAUCGUGUUCUGCAGGUGGGGAAGCGCGUCUCUGAGCCAUGGGGAGGGGAAAGUUCAAGGGCAAGCCCACGGGUCGCCGCCAGUUCUUGACUCCCGACGAGAUGAGUAAGCCGAGAGCGCAAAGAUUUGAUUUUUCUUGCGAAUUUCGACAACCCUCUUUCGUUCGGCAUCGCUUGUGAUUGUUGGGAAUAGCCCAUUCGUUGAGCGUCGGUUGGUUGUUUGUUUGGAUGUGGUCGGGCUGAAUUUGGGUGUGGUUCUGUUUUGUUGAAUCUGUUUGGUUAUCUGAGAUCGCCAUGUACAAAUAUGCGAAGAUGUGAAGUUGUACCAGAGAGAUAAGUGAUAAGAAGACAGGAAAAAACAAUGGACAAUUGAUUUUGUGCAUGCUAUUCCCUGUUUUAUGUGUUGCUUCAUGAAUGAAGCUUCAAUUAGUUCAUAACCUUGCGGGUAUCAAGAGUUUUCUGAACAGUGAUUGAUCAUGUUGUGGCGUUGUUUUAAUUCUGUGAAAAUGAAAAAAAAAAAAAGAACCUGUCGGAACCGGAACCGACCCUAGAACCUGUAAGAGGGUAGGUUCCAGGUUCUUGAUUCUGACGGGUAGGUUCCAGGUUCCAAAAAUUGAGGAACCUGUACCCGAGGGUAGGUUCCAGGUUCCGGACGGAACCGAACCGGAACCGGGAACCGCUCACCC